UACGAAGGUCCCGAGCGUUGUUCGGAAUCACUGGGCGUAAAGGGAGCGUAGGCUGCACGGUAAGUCAGAUGUGAAAGCCCGGGGCUCAACCCCGGAACUGCAUCCGAUACUGCCGUGCUUGAGGACUGGAGAGGAGUCUGGAAUUCACAGUGGAGCAGUGAAAUGCGUAGAUAUUGUGAGGAACGCUAGUAGCGAAGGCGAGACUCUGGACAGAUCCUGACGCUGAGGCUCGAAGGCCAGGGGAGCAAACGGG
RNAcentral lists this ribosomal RNA (253 nucleotides) under uncultured bacterium. RNAcentral describes it as "partial 16S ribosomal RNA". It matches the Rfam family "Bacterial small subunit ribosomal RNA", at positions 524 to 776 of the family's 1533-position model. The record is from RNAcentral.